UACGUAGGUGGCAAGCGUUGUCCGGAUUUACUGGGCGUAAAGGAUGCGUAGGCGGAUAUUUAAGUGAGAUGUGAAAAUCCCGGGCUUAACUUGGGAACUGCAUUUCAAACUGGGUAUCUAGAGUGCAGGAGAGGAAAGCGGAAUUCCUAGUGUAGCGGUGAAAUGCGUAGAGAUUAGGAAGAACACCAGUGGCGAAGGCGGCUUUCUGGACUGUAACUGACGCUGAGGCAUGAAAGCGUGGGGAGCAAAC
Molecule: ribosomal RNA, 250 nt
Filed under: uncultured bacterium
Lineage: Bacteria
Description: partial 16S ribosomal RNA
Rfam family: Bacterial small subunit ribosomal RNA
Source: RNAcentral